UUGCAGAUUGCAACACGUAGCAUGCCAGGAGACUUAAGUCAGUGGGUUAUGAAGCAUUACGACCCUGAAAUUUCCCAACUUGUCAUCCCAGAGAGGGGCAAGAUUCCAGUAGAUGCAGCAAGUGUUCACAAAAUAUGGGGUAUGCCAAAAAGGGGGAGGAAGGUUUGCUACGAGAAUAGAGUAGAUUACACAUCCAAAAUGUACAAAAUCUUCAAGAUCAAAACGAAAGGCUCACCAACACUAACAUCUUCGUGCAAAAUGAUCAAGGAUAUCGCUGGGGCAGCAGAUAACAAUUUCCUGCGUGCUUGGUUGGCGGACGCCUUCUCCUGUUUCCUUGCUCCUACCACAAGUUUGAACAUAUCCCCAUGGUGUUUUCCUGUUGUGAUGCAUGUGGAUGCGAUAAUAGAGACGAGUGUAUGCCAGUUUGUAGUUGAUUAA
Molecule: ribosomal RNA, 438 nt
Filed under: Triticum aestivum (bread wheat)
Lineage: Eukaryota; Viridiplantae; Streptophyta; Magnoliopsida; Poales; Poaceae
Description: partial small subunit ribosomal RNA
Source: RNAcentral